Molecule: ribosomal RNA, 94 nt
Filed under: Ramlibacter pinisoli
Lineage: Bacteria; Pseudomonadati; Pseudomonadota; Betaproteobacteria; Burkholderiales; Comamonadaceae
Source: RNAcentral
CCUGAUGACCAUAGCGAGGUGGUCCCACUCCUUCCCAUCCCGAACAGGACAGUGAAACGCCUCUGCGCCGAUGAUAGUGCGGAUUCCCGUGUGA